Molecule: ribosomal RNA, 415 nt
Filed under: uncultured bacterium
Lineage: Bacteria
Description: bacterial SSU rRNA
Rfam family: Bacterial small subunit ribosomal RNA
Source: RNAcentral
GCUGGCGGCACGCCUAAACAUGCAAGUCGAACGCAGUAGCAAUACUGAGUGGCAAACGGGUGAGUAUAAUGUGGGAAUCUGCCUUUUGGUUUGGAAUAACACGGGGAAACUUGUGCUAAUACCGAAUAAGCCCUUACGGGGAAAGUUUUAACGCCGAAAGAUGAGCCUGCACUUGAUUAGCUAGUUGGUAAGGUAAAAGCUUACCAAGGCAACGAUCAAUAGCUGUUCUUAGAGGAAGACCAGCCACAUUGGGACUGAGACACGGCCCAGACUCCUACGGGAGGCAGCAGUGGGGAAUCUUGCACAAUGGGGGAAACCCUGAUGCAGCGAUGCCGCGUGAGUGAAGAAGGCCUUUGGGUUGUAAAACUCUUUCGUCGGGGAAGAAAAUGACUGUACCCGAAUAAGAAGGUCCGGC